GGGCCCGCACAAGCGGUGGAGUAUGUGGUUUAAUUCGAUGCAACGCGAAGAACCUUACCAGGGUUUGACAUCCUGCGAAUCUCUUGGAAACGAGAGAGUGCCUUCGGGAACGCAGUGACAGGUGGUGCAUGGCUGUCGUCAGCUCGUGUCGUGAGAUGUUGGGUUAAGUCCCGCAACGAGCGCAACCCACGUCUUUAGUUGCCAGCAUUUAGUUGGGCACUCUAGAGAGACCGCCGGUGAUAAACCGGAGGAAGGUGUGGAUGACGUCAAGUCAUCAUGCCCCUUACAUCCUGGGCUACACACGUACUACAAUGCUACGGACAAAGAGCAGCAAGUUCGCGAGGACAAGCAAAUCUCAUAAACCGUGGCUCAGUUCGGAUUGUUGUCUGCAACUCGACAACAUGAAGUCGGAAUCGCUAGUAAUCGCGUAUC
This 432-nucleotide ribosomal RNA is filed under the name uncultured bacterium. RNAcentral's name for it is "bacterial SSU rRNA". It matches the Rfam family "Bacterial small subunit ribosomal RNA", at positions 917 to 1350 of the family's 1533-position model. The record is from RNAcentral.